GGUAACGCGGUGGGGUUGAUCUUCCAUGGUGUGAAGACUUCGUUCUUUCGCUCUUUGCAAUGACUCUUGGUGCUACUCACUCUGGGUUCACGCUGCCUUUAUGAGUUGUGAGACUCACCGCGAAGGUCUGUAGCUUCACAGCUGAAGCCAUCGAGACCACGAACCCACCAGGAGGAACGAACAACUCCAGAAGCACCGCCUUAAAAGCUGUAACACCCACCGCGAAGAUCUGCAGGUUCACUCCUGAGCUGCCGAGACCACGAACCCACCGGAAGAAAGAAACUUCGAACACAUCCGAACAUGAGAAAUAACAAACUCCAGAUACGCGUCUUUUAAGAACUGUAGCAAUCACCGUGAGGGUCCGCGGCUUCAUUCUUGAAGUGAGACCAAGAACCCACCAAUUCCGGACGCAACUGCCCUCCAGCCUGGGCGACAGAGCGAGACUCCGUCUCAAAAAAAAAAAAAAAAAAAAAAAAAAAAAACAGAAACAAUCCCACCCAGCUUUAGCAAGUCGGAGGAGGUGAGGCCCACUUUUCUACUUUCCUGAUUGGAAGGAGAAGGAAGUGCACAGGCAGAGCGGGAGGCGGGGGGGCCGCCGGGUGGGGGGCGCCGGGGCGGGGGCGCCUGCCAGGCCCAAGGGCAGUGAGGGAGCAGCUGGACUGAGUAGAGAAUUGCGGCGGGGUGGGGGGAGUUUUUUUUGUUUGUUGUUUCUUUACGUGUGUGCGUGUUUCAGAAGUGAAGACCAGAAUUAGAGUGGUUAUCUAAAGACAGAUUUGAAUCUGGGGUUUAGAAGAAAACAGCGGUGUUACAAAUGAAAACAAAAUGGGUCCUGUCUGAGAAGCCCCAGGAGAGAACACCUAUAUUAUUAAAGGAAGCAUGGACACUAGUGAGCCUUAUAUUUCUAUUCUUUUUUUUUUUUCUCUGAGACAGAGUGUCGGUCUGUCGCCCAGGCUGGAGUGCAGUGGCGCGAUCUCAGCUCACUGCAACCUCCGCCUCCCAGGUUCAAGCAAUUCUCCUGCCUCCGCCUCCCAAGUAUCUGCGAUUACAGGCGCACGCCACCAUGCCCGCCUAAUUUUUGUAUUUUUAGUAGAAACAGGGUUUCACCAUGUUGGCCAGGCUGGUCUGAAACUCCUGACCUCAGAUGAUCUGCCCUCCUUGGCCUCCCAAACUGCUCUAUUCUAUUCUCUCUCCUGUCUCUCUCUUUUUUUUUUUUUUUUUUUGAGGCAGGGUCUCACUCUGUCAUCCAGGUUGGAGUGCAGCAGCCCCAUCAUAGCUGACUGCAGCCUUGAACUCCUGGGCUCAAGCGAUCUUCCCACCUCAGCCUCCCAAGUAGCUGGGAGGACAGCCACCGCUCCUGGCCUGAGUCUUCUAUUGUCUUUCCUUUUCCUUUUGGUCUGGGGGGUUCCUCACCUUUUUCCUUUAUCUAGAUUAGUGGCGCAUUUAUACUCGAGUAAAUGACUGUACUUUUUAAACUGCUAUAAUAUUUUGAGGGGCAGGUUAGAGGAGUCAUAAGCCUUAGUCCUAAAGAGCUUGUGUUACUUCAAGCAUCAGUCACAUAGGGGAGGGGACAGAGGAUGGUCUCAAGUGUUCUGAAAUCACUCUAAUGUACGUAGAGGGGCCAACCAGAAGAGGGAAGCUAUAGUGUCUAAAGAGUUCCUGAGCCUCUGAUAAGGGGAGAGCAUGUGACAACAGUGAAAAUCCAUUUAAUGCCAAGGGGGUGGGGGGAUUUAGAAUUACUUGCCUGAGAAGCAACAUCAUCUCAGGUGGCAGCCAAGCCUUCAUACUGGAAGCAGAGAAGAACCGCCUCCUCCCUAGUGAUGCAGGGCUAGGGGCAGGAUGGGCUGGCCUCUCUCCUAGGCACAGGCUGAGCCCUGCAGCCCCUCCCAUGGGAGGAGCUGGCUAUUUCCCUCCACCCUAGUGCUUUCAGGAACUCAGCCAGGCCCAGGCUCCCUCCCCUUCUCACCUUCCAGCUCUGCCGUAGGUCUGAGCUUCUGCCACAGUGGCCUCAUUUCCCUUCUCAUGCCCAACAGGUGCCCCAGGGCUCUGACCCACAGGUCACUUUAUACAGAAUCGUGCAUUGCAAAUUGUUUUUUCUAUGUCCAGGAGAUUCAAGAGUCAUCUCAAAUAUGAUUUGAACGGGAGUUUCUUUGAAUUCAUUAUUGGUAACUGGCUAAUCAAUAAAAUUCCCCCUGGACAUGAAGAAGACAAGACAGGAUUCGCCCCUGGUCAGAGUUUUACAGAGGGUUUUUUUUUCCUUUUUUUCCCCCCCCCCCCCCCCCGAGAUGGAGUCUCGCUCUGUUGCCAGGCUGGAGUGCAGUGACGCGAUCUCGGCUUACUGCAUCCUCCACCUCCCGUGUUCAAGCAAUUCUUGUUCCUCAGCCUCCCAAGUAGCUGGGAUUACAGGCACACGCCACCACGCCCAGCUAAUUUUUUGUUUUGUAUUUUCAGUAGAGACGGGGUUUCACUAUGUUGGCCAGGCUGGUUUCGAUCAUCUGACCUCGUGAUCUGCCUGCCUCAGUCUCCCAAAGUGCUGGGAUUACAGGCAUGAGCCACCGCGCCCGGCCUUACGGAGGUUUUCUUCAUGACUUGUUUCCUUUUCUUCAUUUCAUGCUCCAGUUUCAUUAUUUUAGUGAAUUUGAGCUGAGAGUAGCUCCAAACCACAUAAUGAAGAAUAUUCUACUUCAAUUACAGUUACCCAUUGUUCUGUGGGGUCUGGGGUGCAUGGAUAAAGAUAUUAACCUGGCUUCAUAAUGAUGGCAAGAGGGGAAAGGGACGUAGAUUUCAACUGGUCUGGGUUCAUGUGUGUACACACACACGCACACGAGCACAUAAGCCUUAUUAAGAUGCACUGUGGAAUAAUACAAAGGUACAGGGAGAACAGGCGUAUUUACAGGCUGUAAGUGGGAAUGUAAUGUAACAUUUUCUAUACCAAAACCCUUAAAA
Molecule: long non-coding RNA, 2943 nt
Filed under: Homo sapiens (human)
Lineage: Eukaryota; Metazoa; Chordata; Mammalia; Primates; Hominidae
Description: non-protein coding lnc-CENPA-2:1
Source: RNAcentral